RNAcentral lists this ribosomal RNA (497 nucleotides) under uncultured bacterium. Its description in RNAcentral is "partial 16S ribosomal RNA". It matches the Rfam family "Bacterial small subunit ribosomal RNA", at positions 28 to 507 of the family's 1533-position model. The record is from RNAcentral.
GAUGAACGCUGGCGGCGUGCCUAAUACAUGCAAGUCGAGCGAACAGACGAGGAGCUUGCUCCUUUGACGUUAGCGGCGGACGGGUGAGUAACACGUAGGUAACCUACCUAUAAGACUGGGAUAACUUCGGGAAACCGGAGCUAAUACCGGAUAAUAUUUCGAACCGCAUGGUUCGAUAGUGAAAGAUGGCUUUGCUAUCACUUAUAGAUGGACCUGCGCCGUAUUAGCUAGUUGGUAAGGUAACGGCUUACCAAGGCAACGAUACGUAGCCGACCUGAGAGGGUGAUCGGCCACACUGGAACUAAGACACGGUCCAGACUCCUACGGGAGGCAGCAGUAGGGAAUCUUCCGCAAUGGGCGAAAGCCUGACGGAGCAACGCCGCGUGAGUGAUGAAGGUCUUCGGAUCGUAAAACUCUGUUAUUAGGGAAGAACAAACGUGUAAGUAACUGUGCACGUCUUGACGGUACCUAAUCAGAAAGCCACGGCUAACUACGUG